GGGGUUUGCAUGGACCGUUGCUAUUUGGGGGGUUAACUGGCAUAAUUUUUUUCGGGGGGUUUGCAUGGACCGAUGCUAUUUGGGGGGUUAACUGGCAUAAUUUGUUUCGGGGGGUUUGCAUGGACCGAUGCUAAUUGGGGGGUGACCUGACAUAAUGUGGUUCGGUGGGUUUGCAUGGACCGAUGCUAUCUGGGGGGUUGCCUGGCGCAAUAUGGUUCGGUGGGUUUGCAUGGACCGAUGCUAAUUGGGGGGUGACCUGACAUAAUGUGGUUCGGUGGGUUUGCAUGGACCGAUGCUAUUUGAAGGGUUAUCUGGCAUAAUUUGUUUCGGGGGGUUUGCCUGGACCUAUACUAAUUGGGGGGUGACCUGACAUAAUGUGGUUCGGUGGGUUUGCAUGGAACGAUGCGAUUUGAGGGGUUACCCGGCGCAAUGUGGUUCGGGGGGUUUGCAUGGACCGAUGCUAUUUGGGGGGUUAUCUGGCAUAAUUUGUUUCGGGGGGUUUGCCUGGACCUAUACUAAUUGGGGGGUGAACUGACAUAAUGUGGUUCGGUGGGUUUGCAUGGAACGAUGCGAUUUGAGGGGUUACCCGGCGCAAUGUGGUUCGGGGGGUUUGCAUGGACCGAUGCUAUUUGGGGGGUUAUCUGGCAUAAUUUGUUUCGGGGGGUUUGCCUGGACCUAUGCUAAUUGGGGGGUGACCUGACAUAAUG
Molecule: long non-coding RNA, 707 nt
Filed under: Volvox carteri
Lineage: Eukaryota; Viridiplantae; Chlorophyta; Chlorophyceae; Chlamydomonadales; Volvocaceae
Description: long non-coding RNA (VCAR_LNC003840)
Source: RNAcentral